Molecule: ribosomal RNA, 513 nt
Filed under: Septoglomus xanthium
Lineage: Eukaryota; Fungi; Glomeromycota; Glomeromycetes; Glomerales; Glomeraceae
Description: LSU rRNA
Rfam family: Eukaryotic large subunit ribosomal RNA
Source: RNAcentral
UUUCUAAGAGUCGAGUUGUUUGGGAUUGCAGCUCAAAAUGGGAGGUAAAUUCCUCCUAAGGCUAAAUAUUGGCGAGAGACCGAUAGCGAACAAGUACCGUGAGGGAAAGAUGAAAAGAACUUUGAAAAGAGAGUUAAACAGUACGUGAAAUUGUUGAAAGGGAAACGAUUGAAGUCAGUCGUACUAACGGGAAAUCAACCUAUUUUGAGUUGUGAAUUUUGGAUUUUGAAGAGUGUAAACCUUCUGGUUCAAAUAUUCGCGCUUUUUGGGCGUAAUUUCUCGUUCGGUAGGUUAACAUCGAUUUUGAAUAUUAUAAAAUGACUGGAGGAAUGUAGCUUCGAUCUCGUAUUGAAGUGUUAUAGCCUUUGGUAGAUGUAAUGAUCAAGAUCGAGGAUUGCAACGAAUACCCUUUGGGCUAUCCGUCUGAUCUCUGAUACGUUGCCUUGGUAACGAAAGCUUGCUUACGGUAUUGAGGUAUAACGGUCAAAAGGUUAGAACGUGAUUACAUUCGUU